Epinephelus fuscoguttatus (brown-marbled grouper) is the source of this 1160-nucleotide long non-coding RNA. RefSeq lists it as uncharacterized. The record is from RefSeq and is a predicted model, not a curated record. The transcript is spliced from 4 exons. NCBI's taxonomy places the organism in Eukaryota, Metazoa, Chordata, Actinopteri, Perciformes, Serranidae.
CGGCUAGCUUCUUAACGGCAACAUUAGCUGCUCUGUUUCAACAAUGUUCGGCUGAAAAAAAAAAACUACAUUCAAGCUGAAAUUCAACCUUAAUGUUCUGUCAGGAGCUGCAGUGACUUUAAACCAACGCUCCACCCACUUGUCCAAAUAUGGUCACUUCUGGCUCCAAAAUAACAAGAUGGUGAUGGCCAAAAUGUGAAACUUGAGGCUUAAAAACGCAUGGAGGGGUGUGGACGCAGCUGCAGAGGAGGUAUGGUUGAGUCUCCAGCAGCAUGUUGGACCGCUGCACCAAGAAACGGCUAAAGACUGCUGUGUAGUUUCAACAACUGGAUAAGAUCACUGCAGUGGAAGAGGAAAACCAGCCAGCUGGAGCCUAUCCCAUCUGACAUUGGUCGAGAGGCGGGGCACCCUGGACAGGUCGCCAUACUAUCACAGAGCUGACACGUAGACGCAGACAACCAUUUACAUUAACAUUCACACCCACGGGCAAUUAAGAGUCCCCAGUUAGCCUAACCUAAAUAUCUUUGGACUGUGGGAGGAAGCCAGAGAAGCUGGAGAAAACCCACAAUGGAAUAUCUUCUCUCACCUAAAUCUUACCCUGUGGAUUUAAACUAUCAGUCUAAAUAAACUUCUGAUGGUCAACACAGUUGUUUGAACCACAGCAACAAUGAAAAACAGCAGUGACUCAGAGCUCUGUCCUGAGGAAGGAGGAUAAGUAUUAGAUAGUUUCCUCUUCUCCUUUGGUAACCUGCAAUAACUAGUGUCCUAGUUUGAUGCUACAUGCUAAUUUUAAGCUGGUAAUAGUGACCAAAUUUGGUACACUGAGAAAAAUCUGUAGGAAAUUAACAUUAAAAAUUGUUAUUUAUGUAGUAACAAUAUUGUUCCUCGGUGCAACGCAAAUGGAGUAAUGCCGAGUCUUCAGCCUCCAAAAAUUGCAGUACCUCAAAUGGCCACUUGAGGCUGGCUCCAAAAGUGAGUCAGUCACCACAGAUCCCCAUGUAACCAUGUUUACAGCCUGCUACAAAAAAAAACAGUUUUGGUCUCUAUAGCUAAUUUUCUUCAUGACAGCUAUAUGGGAGGGGUUCAUUUUUAUAUAACCCAGUGUUUCCCACCUGGUCCAGCCACAGGGUCCAGAUUUCUCCGUAGUCAUUCGUUUGAGG